Molecule: ribosomal RNA, 804 nt
Filed under: uncultured organism
Description: bacterial SSU rRNA
Rfam family: Bacterial small subunit ribosomal RNA
Source: RNAcentral
GCCAGCAGCCGCGGUAAGACGUAGGACGCGAGCGUAUUCUGGAAUUACUGGGCGUAAAGGGCCAGCAGGCGGCUUGGUAAGUUGUGCGUGAAAGCCUCGUGCUCAACGCGAGGAAGCCGGACAAUACUGUCAAGCUAGAGGGCAUCAGAGGGGAGUGGAAUUCCCGGAGUAGCGGUAAAAUGCGCAGAUAUCGGGAGGAACACCGAUGGCGAAGGCAGCUCCCUGGGAUGCACCUGACGCUAAGAGGCGAAAGCUAGGGGAGCGAACAGGAUUAGAGACCCUGGUAGUCCUAGCUGUAAACGCUGGGUGCUAGGUGUGGGACGUAGAAGUUCCGUGCCGGAGCAAACGCGAUAAGCACCCCGCCUGGGAAUUACGGUCGCAAGGCUAAAACUCAAACGAAUUGACGGGGCCCCGCACAAGCAGCGGAGCGUGUGGUUCAAUUCGAUGCUACACGAAGAACCUUACCUGGGUUUGACAUGUACGUGGUACGAAGGCGAAAGCCUAAGGACCCUUCGGGGAGCGUACACAGGUGCUGCAUGGCUGUCGUCAGCUCGUGCCGUGAGGUGUCGGGUUAAGUCCCGUAACGAGCGCAACCCUUGCCCUUAGUUACAAGUGUCUAAGGGGACUGCCGGCGGGAAGCCGGAGGAAGGUGGGGAUGACGUCAAGUCAGCAUGGCCCUUAUGUCCAGGGCUACACACACGCUACAAUGGUCAGUACAAAGGGUAGCGAAGUCGCGAGGCGGAGCGAAUCUCAACAAAGCUGAUCGUAGUUCGGAUUGCAGGCUGCAACCCGCCUGCAUGAAGC